CACCCGCUGCCUGCUCUGGAGGGGGUUUGUCACCCAAGGGUUCAUGAGUCGGAAGCUUCGUCUCCAGCGUCUCCAGCGUCUCCAGCAUGGCGUCAGACGCGGACUUUUUGAUUCCCCGUGAGCUUGGGACAUCUCUGCUGCGUGACGUGGAGCUGCAGCAUCGCUGGAAGGGUGGACUGCCUGGUGCUCUCUGCCCUGGGAAAUAUCCUGAAGGAGGCACCCAAAGAGAUCCGCAGGAAAUGGCUGAAAACUGGAGAGAGAAGAAAUGGUGAAUCUAGGUCGGCCGCAGCGUGGAUGAUUUACAGAGUUAAUAAUAACUCCACAAGUGUGUGCACAGAGCUGCAAGUCCUCGUGGAUGUGCGCUUUCUGCCAGGUUUCCAGUACCCAAGUUAUGCUGGUUUCAUAAAAGGAAUUUGGAAGCCUUCCUCCUUUCUCUAUGCCCAGAAAUGCUUUAAAUAGCACUGGAGUUAUCAUUUCUCUAAAGCCUUGGUUGGCUACAUUUGUGGGCCUGGUGAUUUUCCCCUACUAUUUUUAGGGGGUGGGGAACACUAGGGAUUGAAUCCAAGAUGCUUCACCACCGAGCCACACCCCCACAUCCUCAGAUUUUUUUUCCUCAGACAGCGUCUUGCUAAGUUGCCCAGACUGGCUGCAAACUUGUGAUCCUCCUGCCUCAGCCUCCUGAGUAGAGGAGAUGACAGGCGUGUGCCAAACCCAGGCUGCCGUGUGUACUACGGUUCUCCGAGGAGGGAUGACAAGCAUGUCCCUCAUCCUCAGAAGUGUCCUCGUGUCCUUUGCAGCCCAUCUCCCCCCCACUUCUAUUUGCAGACACCCCCUUUUUAUUUUAGAUUUAGAUUUAAAUUUUUAUUACCCAUCGGCUUGCAUCAUUUGUCAUUUUAGAAAAAUGGAAUCAAACAGCAGCACGCCCUUUCUUUGCUGGACUUUGCCUGCAGCUUACCUAUUUUAAGGAACCACAGUUGUACAUGGGGUCAUCACGCAGCCUGCGUCUGGAUUUUGAGAAUCACUCGUUAAUAGUUCAUUCACUUUACUGCCGAGUAAAAUUCCACUGUAGGAAUACGCCACCAUUUGUCUAUAUAUUCACUAGCUAAGACCGCUGAGUUGUUUUCAGUUUGGGGCCAGCAUAAA
Sciurus carolinensis (gray squirrel) is the source of this 1143-nucleotide long non-coding RNA. RefSeq lists it as uncharacterized. Lineage: Eukaryota; Metazoa; Chordata; Mammalia; Rodentia; Sciuridae. The transcript is spliced from 3 exons. The record is from RefSeq and is a predicted model, not a curated record.